RNAcentral lists this ribosomal RNA (508 nucleotides) under uncultured bacterium. Its description in RNAcentral is "partial 16S ribosomal RNA". It matches the Rfam family "Bacterial small subunit ribosomal RNA", at positions 28 to 523 of the family's 1533-position model. The record is from RNAcentral.
GAUGAACGCUAGCUACAGGCUUAACACAUGCAAGUCGAGGGGAAACGAUAGAGAAAGCUUGCUUUUUCUAGGCGUCGACCGGCGCACGGGUGAGUAACGCGUAUCCAACCUGCCCAUCACUUGGGGAUAACCUUGCGAAAGUAAGACUAAUACCCAAUGACGUCUCUAGAAGACAUCUGAAAGAGAUUAAAGAUUUAUCGGUGAUGGAUGGGGAUGCGUCUGAUUAGCUUGUUGGCGGGGUAACGGCCCACCAAGGCGACGAUCAGUAGGGGUUCUGAGGGGAAGGUCCCCCACAUUGGAACUGAGACACGGUCCAAACUCCUACGGGAGGCAGCAGUGAGGAAUAUUGGUCAAUGGGCGAGAGCCUGAACCAGCCAAGUAGCGUGCAGGAUGACGGCCCUAUGGGUUGUAAACUGCUUUUAUAAGGGAAUAAAGUGAGUCUCGUGAGACUUUUUGCAUGUACCUUAUGAAUAAGGACCGGCUAAUUCCGUGCCAGCAGCCGCCGCUG